Molecule: small RNA, 179 nt
Filed under: Pseudacidovorax intermedius
Lineage: Bacteria; Pseudomonadati; Pseudomonadota; Betaproteobacteria; Burkholderiales; Comamonadaceae
Description: Manganese sequence
Rfam family: Manganese Mn2+ riboswitch aptamer (yybP-ykoY)
About the family: This RNA was originally discovered in E. coli during a large scale screen and was named SraF. The family was later found to exist upstream of related families of protein genes in many bacteria, including the the yybP and ykoK genes in B. subtilis.
Source: RNAcentral
CCCGCUGUCUUUGGGGAGUAGCCGCCUUCCGAAUGCGAGAAGGGUGUGCGUCAACAGACUUGUAUCGCGUCCCACGCGGAACAUGGCGUACACAGUAGAAGACCUGGCGAGACCAUUGACCACGCAGCUUCGGGAACAAGGCCGGAGGCGCUGCGUGGUCGAUCGUGUCCUUCGGCCGU